CUCAGAGUCACGAAACGCCUUCCCGUAGCGAGAAACGAGCAGCCUUAGGUGCGUUCUUAAAUCCCGCCUCUACAGAAGAAGAGAUUCAGAGCACGGAGCUGGAGGCCACGGCCUUCCUUUGUUUCAGCUCAACCAGGUACAGCGUUUCGACAUCAGGAUGACUUCCAACGAGUGGAAUCCGUUAACAGCUCCAGUCGCGUUAUGGCAAGUCCCAUCAGCGCCUCAUCCUAAUAUCGAGACUCUAGAAGACAUCACGAUUUGUUCAUCCAGUUUCAUUUACAGAAUGACAGUGCGUUAGGGUGACAUCUGCAAGGAUGAGAGAAAAAUACAAGAAAUGGUGGAAAGAUUCAAGGGUUGGCAUCGAGAAUAAGCUUAUCAGAGACAACCGAAGAUAUUUGAUUAUGACGCAACCAAAAAAUUGGACCAAAAACAUUAAAAUUACUGUAAUUACGUAAAAAAUACAAUGAAUUAUUAAUUUCUAGAGUCAAACAAAA
Molecule: long non-coding RNA, 494 nt
Organism: Zootermopsis nevadensis
Lineage: Eukaryota; Metazoa; Arthropoda; Insecta; Blattodea; Termopsidae
Source: RefSeq, a predicted model, not a curated record